RNAcentral lists this ribosomal RNA (500 nucleotides) under uncultured bacterium. Its description in RNAcentral is "partial 16S ribosomal RNA". It matches the Rfam family "Bacterial small subunit ribosomal RNA", at positions 30 to 523 of the family's 1533-position model. The record is from RNAcentral.
AUUGAACGCUGGCGGCAUGCCUUACACAUGCAAGUCGAACGGUAACGGGUCCUUCGGGAUGCCGACGAGUGGCGAACGGGUGAGUAAUAUAUCGGAACGUGCCCAGUAGUGGGGGAUAACUGCUCGAAAGAGCAGCUAAUACCGCAUACGACCUGAGGGUGAAAGGGGGGGAUCGAAAGACCUCUCCCUAUUGGAGCGGCGGAUAUCAGAUUAGCUAGUUGGGGGGGUAAAGGCCUACCAAGGCAACGAUCUGUAGUUGGUCUGGGAGGACGACCAGCCACACUGGGACUGAGACACGGCCCAGACUCCUACGGGAGGCAGCAGUGGGGAAUUUUGGACAAUGGGCGCAAGCCUGGCCCAGCAAUGCCGCGUGCAGGAAGAAGGCCUUCGGGUUGUAAACUGCUUUUGUCAGGGAAGAAAUCUUCUGGGCUAAUACCCCGGGAGGAUGACGGUACCUGAAGAAUAAGCACCGGCUAACUACGUGCCAGCAGCCGCUGUAA